CGGCCCUGAGGGGGGGCAGGGGGAGCGGCCGCCCCGGGCCCCCCAACAUCCAGGGGCCCCCUCCUCAGGUACGUACGUAGUAGGUAGCAGCAGCCAACAAGCUAACUCACGUACGCUUAUCUUUUUUUAGGUGAGACUAACGCACGUAUCCUGUGCUGCUUUUUCGCUCAAGGCCUGCGCUGCUGCAAAAAAAUAUAUAGUUAAUUUGGGCCCAGCCCAAGUAGAAAUAGCUAGCUGGAGUCGUACGUAUUUGCCAAGUAGUAAAACCUGAAUUGCCUAAAAAAAUAGCAAAACCUGAAACGUCAAGCAUCACACGCACAUCUACCCAGCAGGCGCCGCCAUUGACCUCGACCUAGAUCGCAAAAGGUAAACCAGCGCAGCUUGCUUGAGGAAGAAAAGAAGAUACCAAGGGACAUGGCUAUGCGCCAGAGCAGGCGGCGCACCGGCGCUGCACGUCAUCCGUUGGAUGUGAGCACUUCGGCCGCUCGAUGUCUUCCACAACAGGGAUGGUUGCUAAUGGGGAAAAGAACAACCUGUAAGUCAUGGAGGUUGCAGGCCGAGGGAACUCGAAAUGCUCAAGAGCCAUGUCGACGAAUAACCAAGUGGAGGAUGUGCUACAUGAAGGCCAUGCACAUGCUUGAGAAACCAGGCAGCACCAUGAUUGCGGAACUCGUAGAGUUUGGCCGUCGGCAAAUAUCCGAGUGUAUGAGGUGCUGCCAAUGAGAUGCAUCUUGAACAGUGCAUGGAGACUUAUGAUGAUGCCGAUGAGACGGAUCUUGAACAGUGCUUGGAGAGCAUCUAAAAGAAGAAGGAAAACCCAGGAGUAAUCAUUCGGAGCAGAUCUGUGUACCCUUGGGAUGACGAGGCAUUGCCAUCCUUAUGUGGGUAGCGCCCACGUGAUGAGGCGAGUUCACCGUGUCACGGCGAUGAUGUUCGGCACCGGCUACAAACUCUGACGGGUGUUCCAAACUACUGCUGACAACCAGAUGCAAGUGGGUAUGCGUGUGUUGCAAGGUGAAUGUGAGAUGGCAAUGAACAACAAGCUCCUAUGUGAGUUCGACCUCAUGUCCUCAUCGGCAUCCCUCCAGCACCAAGGGCCACGCCACAGAUCGAGGGGGCCGCCUCCGCCUAAGACAAAGCCCACCUCCACAACCGUGCGCCAGUACGCGAGGAAUGGCCACUGCUUCCUCCACCGUGUUCGCAUCGCCCCCACCUUAGUCGGGCAACUUGGUGUAUAGGGAUCGUUGCUAAUGGGGAAAAGAGCGAUGUCAGUGAAUGGCCAAGUAGAAGAAGGGCUACAUGAAGGCCCAUGGAGAUGACUGAGAAACCAGGCAGUACCGCGAUUGCUGAACUCGUAGAGCUUGGCCG
Molecule: long non-coding RNA, 1368 nt
Organism: Triticum aestivum (bread wheat)
Lineage: Eukaryota; Viridiplantae; Streptophyta; Magnoliopsida; Poales; Poaceae
Exons: 6
Source: RefSeq, a predicted model, not a curated record